This 378-nucleotide ribosomal RNA is filed under the name uncultured bacterium. Its description in RNAcentral is "bacterial SSU rRNA". It matches the Rfam family "Bacterial small subunit ribosomal RNA", at positions 30 to 407 of the family's 1533-position model. The record is from RNAcentral.
AUUGAACGCUGGCGGCAGGCCUAACACAUGCAAGUCGAGCGGUAGAGAGGUGCUUGCAUCUCUUGAGAGCGGCGGACGGGUGAGUAAUGCCUAGGAAUCUGCCUAGUGGUGGGGGAUAACGUUCGGAAACGGACGCUAAUACCGCAUACGUCCUACGGGAGAAAGCGGGGGAUCUUCGGACCUCGCGCCAUUAGAUGAGCCUAGGUCGGAUUAGCUAGUUGGUGAGGGUAAUGGCUCACCAAGGCGACGAUCCGUAACUGGUCUGAGAGGAUGAUCAGUCACACUGGAACUGAGACACGGUCCGAGACUCCUACGGGAGGCAGCAGUGGGGAAUAUUGGACAAUGGGCGAAGCCUGAUCCAGCCAUGCCGCGUGUGUG